UUGUACCUACGGGGGGCAGCAGUGGGGAAUAUUGGUCAAUGGAGGAAACUCUGAACCAGCAACGCCGCGUGAAUGAUGAAGGUCUUCGGAUUGUAAAGUUCUUUUCUAAGGGAAGAAGAUAGUGACGGUACCUUAGGAAUAAGCCUCGGCUAACUACGUGCCAGCAGCCGCGGUAAUACGUAGGAGGCAAGCGUUAUCCGGAAUGACUGGGCGUAAAGGGUGCGUAGGUGGUUUGGCAAGUUAGUAGCGUAACCCCGGGGCUCAACCUC
Molecule: ribosomal RNA, 269 nt
Filed under: uncultured bacterium
Lineage: Bacteria
Description: partial 16S ribosomal RNA
Rfam family: Bacterial small subunit ribosomal RNA
Source: RNAcentral